UACAAUGGCGUAAACAGAGGGAAGCGAGCCUGCGAGGGGGAGCGAAUCCCAAAAAAUAACGUCCCAGUUCGGAUUGUAGUCUGCAACCCGACUACAUGAAGCUGGAAUCGCUAGUAAUCGCGGAUCAGAAUGCCGCGGUGAAUACGUUCCCGGGUCUUGUACACACCGCCCGUCACACCAUGGGAGUCGGGAACACCCGAAGUCCGUAGCCUAACCGCAAGGGGGGCGCGGCCGAAGGUGGGUUCGAUAAUUGGGGUGAAGUCGUAACAAGGUAAC
Molecule: ribosomal RNA, 276 nt
Filed under: uncultured bacterium
Lineage: Bacteria
Description: partial 16S ribosomal RNA
Rfam family: Bacterial small subunit ribosomal RNA
Source: RNAcentral